UCGAGAAUUUUCCACAAUGGGCGCAAGCCUGAUGGAGCGACGCCGCGUGGGGGAUGAAUGGCUUCGGCCCGUAAACCCCUGUCAUUUGCGAUCAACCGUUAUUAUUUAAAAGAUGAUGACCUGAUAGUAGCGAAAGAGGAAGGGACGGCUAACUCUGUGCCAGCAGCCGCGGUAAUACAGAGGUCCCAAGCGUUGUUCGGAUUCACUGGGCGUAAAGGGUGCGUAGGUGGCGAGGUAAGUCGGAUGUGAAAUCUCCAAGCUCAACUUGGAAAAUGCAUUGGAAACUACCUUGCUCGAGGUUUGGAGGGGGGACUGGAAUACUUGGUGUAGCAGUGAAAUGCGUAGAUAUCAAGUGGAACACCAGUGGCGAAAGCGAGUCCCUGGACAAAUCCUGACACUGAGGCACGAAAGCUAGGGGAACAAACA
Molecule: ribosomal RNA, 426 nt
Filed under: uncultured prokaryote
Description: bacterial SSU rRNA
Rfam family: Bacterial small subunit ribosomal RNA
Source: RNAcentral